GGGUGCGAUCAUACCAGCACUAAUGCACCGGAUCCAUCAGAACUCCGCAGUUAAACGUGCUUGGGCGAGAGUAGUACUAGGAUGGGUGACCUCCUGGGAAGUCCUCGUGUUGCACCCC
RNAcentral lists this ribosomal RNA (118 nucleotides) under Salix viminalis (osier). Lineage: Eukaryota; Viridiplantae; Streptophyta; Magnoliopsida; Malpighiales; Salicaceae. The record is from RNAcentral.